CGGGAUGUCACGUCUUUCUUAUAUCAGUAUACUCGUAACAACUUAAGCAUUACGAAACGUAUUUUGGAUCAAAUAAACCUCACUUAGAAAAUAAUCCAUACUUUUUGUUGACCAAAUUCGACAUUCUUAAAAAACGCCUUGCUUGGUGGGCGAAACAACGAAUAACACCUCCUACUGGAGGGAGACAGCUGUUUUUUUGUAGAGUUGGGCCUCUCUCUUCCUCUCCCUGGCUGUACCCAAUAUGGCGAUACGGCUCGUGUAUACUAGCACGCAGUAAAAUGCAGAGUGCUGCCUCGGCCGCACAGAGUGGCUCGCUUGUGGGCGUGCUGGCAACAUAUGGACACUACUCAAUUGUGCGUCAAGAAUUCAACAAGUUUGUAGGAAGGUCUGGUUAUUAAAUGGGUUAAGAGUUUAAUCCAUUCUCCAUUUCAUGAAUUUAUUCAAAGGUAAAUGGUUAUAUGCUCUAAACCGCUCUCGUGACAAACUUUGCUGCCCUGUUUCCAAUCGUCCACAAUGGCUGGGAGAACCUAUUCAAGUAACGUUAAGUGAAUACAUUUCGAAAAUGUUUUUAAAACAUGUAUUAUGAGCUAACUAGCUACAGUGCAGGCUAAAUCAAAUGAGCUGCUAGCUAUCUAGCCAACUUUACAUACCGUAUAGAUAUAGUUAAGUUAAUUAAAGUUAAUUAAAUAUCACCUGCUACCUGCUGCUAACUUCAUAUUAGCUAGCUAUCUUGAUGUAUUUAUCACUGUAAAAAAUACAUCGAAACGCAUUUGUAGGUAGCUAGCUAGCUAACAGCCAUGGAGGAGGGUGAAAGGAUAGCAGCCCCAAGUGUCAAAGUGAGAGAAAAGGCUAUUCUGCAUAGGGCAGGUACUUUUGUGUAGUUCCAGUCCCUAUAAGUGAGGACGGAGAUAAUAGUAACGUAAUAUUCAGUGCGGUCUAAUUUGAGUAUAAUGAAUUCUGUUUCUUGUGAGGGUUUCUGUGCUCAGAGCUGUGAAAGCCUGUCUGCAGAUGAAGAGGUACCAAUGAAGUGCAGUGGUUCUCAGUCCUGGGGACUCAAAGGGGUGCACUUUUCUGUUUUUGACUUAGCACUACACAGCUGAUUCAAAUGAUCAACUCAUCAUCAAGGUUGAAGUGGUAUUUAUGUAUUAAUUAGUGAUGCUAUCCUUGUGUGCACAUGCAUCUAUCUAUCCAAUGUUAUCAUGAUUUGUUAUAAGGGUUAUUAUACUUUAUUAUAAACUGUGUGGUCCCAGCCCUGAAUGCUGAUUGUCUGACAGCCGUGAUAUAUCAGACCGUAUACCACAGAUACCUUGUUACUGGAGAUUCCUUCAAACUGAUUUCCUACAGUUACCGUGUAGGGCACUGCAAGGUUGGGUGACCAGGGCCAUCUGGGACUGCCUCCUGGGGGAAUUCAUGCGUGUGAAGGCUACCUGUGUCCUGCAUGACUUCAUGAGUAUGGACACGAGGACCUGGAGGGGUUCUACUGCUGUGUGCUAGAGGAGAGGUCUGCUGGAUGGGGACCAACAACGCAGCACAGGAGGCAAUCCGUGUGUGGGAGAUCUUUACCUCCUACUUCUUUGAAGAGGGUGCUGGCCCCUGGCAACAGCAUAUACUACACUGUAGAUGGCUCUUUUAAGAGCCAUCCACAUUGCAAUAAGAGUAUUCUUACAUUUACUUAGCUAUGUCAACUGCAGUUAUUACAUUUCCCAGUUUCUCUCCUUUUGAUUUCUACUUCUCAGGUGAAGGUGCUGUUCAAGUAAGGGUGAUGUCUGUACAAAAACAAAACAGGCGCUUUUAAGAGUCAAAAAUAAUUUUGCACGCCUAAUUUUUCAGUUUUUGAUUUGUUAAAAAUAUUUGAAAUAUCCAAUAAAUGUCGUUCCACUUCA
Long non-coding RNA from Oncorhynchus tshawytscha (Chinook salmon), 1883 nucleotides. The record is from Ensembl. Lineage: Eukaryota; Metazoa; Chordata; Actinopteri; Salmoniformes; Salmonidae.